UGGCAGCGAUUACAGCCUUGAGUCUUCUUGGGUAUGAUGCUACAAGCUUGGCACACCUGUAUUUGGGGAGUUAUGCAAGCACAUCACCUGUGCCAUUAAGGCACAGACCUUUUGGCAGAGGCCAGAUUAAAGGUUACAAUAGAACUGCCAAUGGCUGACUUGAUUGCUCAAAGAAAAUCUGUCUUUGCAUGUGGAAAUGUGUAGCUAAUUUCCCCCCAACUUCGGACACUCUCUAGCGUUUGGAGGACUAAAUCACCUCGAGCUCAACAUUUAAAUGGACUGGAAAAUAAAGAUAACAUCAAACAAAAAACCAUGGAGAAAG
This is a long non-coding RNA of Coregonus clupeaformis (lake whitefish), 322 nucleotides long. RefSeq lists it as uncharacterized. NCBI's taxonomy places the organism in Eukaryota, Metazoa, Chordata, Actinopteri, Salmoniformes, Salmonidae. The transcript is spliced from 3 exons. The record is from RefSeq and is a predicted model, not a curated record.